This 527-nucleotide ribosomal RNA is filed under the name Bifidobacterium longum subsp. suillum. RNAcentral describes it as "bacterial SSU rRNA". It matches the Rfam family "Bacterial small subunit ribosomal RNA", at positions 162 to 704 of the family's 1533-position model. Lineage: Bacteria; Bacillati; Actinomycetota; Actinomycetes; Bifidobacteriales; Bifidobacteriaceae. The record is from RNAcentral.
GGUAAUGCCGGAUGCUCCAGUUGAUCGCAUGGUCUUCUGGGAAAGCUUUCGCGGUAUGGGAUGGGGUCGCGUCCUAUCAGCUUGACGGCGGGGUAACGGCCCACCGUGGCUUCGACGGGUAGCCGGCCUGAGAGGGCGACCGGCCACAUUGGGACUGAGAUACGGCCCAGACUCCUACGGGAGGCAGCAGUGGGGAAUAUUGCACAAUGGGCGCAAGCCUGAUGCAGCGACGCCGCGUGAGGGAUGGAGGCCUUCGGGUUGUAAACCUCUUUUAUCGGGGAGCAAGCGAGAGUGAGUUUACCCGUUGAAUAAGCACCGGCUAACUACGUGCCAGCAGCCGCGGUAAUACGUAGGGUGCAAGCGUUAUCCGGAAUUAUUGGGCGUAAAGGGCUCGUAGGCGGUUCGUCGCGUCCGGUGUGAAAGUCCAUCGCUUAACGGUGGAUCCGCGCCGGGUACGGGCGGGCUUGAGUGCGGUAGGGGAGACUGGAAUUCCCGGUGUAACGGUGGAAUGUGUAGAUAUCGGAAAA